AGUGAACGCUGGCGGUAGGCCUAACACAUGCAAGUCGAACGGCAGCACAGUAAGAGCUUGCUCUUACGGGUGGCGAGUAGCGGACGGGUGAGGAAUACAUCGGAAUCUACUUUUUCGUGGGGGAUAACGUAGGGAAACUUACGCUAAUACCGCAUACGACCUACGGGUGAAAGCAGGGGAUCUUCGGACCUUGCGCGAUUGAAUGAGCCGAUGUCGGAUUAGCUAGUUGGCGGGGUAAAGGCCCACCAAGGCGACGAUCCGUAGCUGGUCUGAGAGGAUGAUCAGCCACACUGGAACUGAGACACGGUCCAGACUCCUAAGGGAGGAAGCAGUGGGGAAUAUUGGACAAUGGGCGCAAGCCUGAUCCAGCCAUACCGCGUGGGUGAAGACGGCCUUCGGGUUGUAAAGCCCUUUUGUUGGGAAAGAAAAGCAGCAGGUUAAUACCCCGCUGUUCUGACGGUACCCAAAGAAUAAGCACCGGCUAACUUCGUG
This 492-nucleotide ribosomal RNA is filed under the name uncultured bacterium. RNAcentral describes it as "partial 16S ribosomal RNA". It matches the Rfam family "Bacterial small subunit ribosomal RNA", at positions 29 to 507 of the family's 1533-position model. The record is from RNAcentral.